Molecule: unclassified non-coding RNA, 200 nt
Filed under: uncultured Entoloma
Lineage: Eukaryota; Fungi; Basidiomycota; Agaricomycetes; Agaricales; Entolomataceae
Description: partial internal transcribed spacer 2
Source: RNAcentral
AAUUCUCAACCUCUUUAGUUUUUAUAAACUAAUUAGGCUUGGAUAUUGGAGGUUGCUGGUUUCUCAGAAAUCAGCUCCUCUUAAAUGCAUUAGCAAAGUCUUUGCUGACUAUCUUUGAUAUGAUAAUUAUCUAUACCAUUGAAAAUCAGCUUCCAUCUUGGAGGGUUUUGCUUCUAAUCGUCUGCAUAGACAAUUUGACA